Molecule: ribosomal RNA, 210 nt
Filed under: uncultured bacterium
Lineage: Bacteria
Description: partial 16S ribosomal RNA
Rfam family: Bacterial small subunit ribosomal RNA
Source: RNAcentral
GGAGAUAAAAUGGUGCUGGGGCACUCUGUUCAGACUGCCCUGUGAAACGGGGAGGAAGGUGGGGACGACGUCAAGUCAGGAUGGCCCUUACGCCCAGGGCUGCACACGUACUACAAUGCUCAGUACARAAGGAUCCGAAGCCGCGAGGUGGAGGAAAUCACUAAAACUGAGCCCAGUUCGGAUUGUAGGCUGCAACUCGCCUACAUGAAG